GACAAAAUUGCAAAUUGGCUAGGGAUGUUUCCGAUCAUGUAUCUAUCUGGAGGCACCUGCGUGGCCUUGAUAGUGAUUGGUGGAGGCACUUCCAAGCUCUUCUUCCAAACUUUAUGUGGGGCCGCAUGCACUUCUAAGCCAUUGACAACAGUUGAAUGGUUCUUGGUGUUCACAUGUGCUGCUGUGCUGCUAUCUCUCCUGCCAAACUUGAACUCCAUAGCUGGAGUUUCACUGAUUGGAGCUAUCACUGCGGUUGGGUACUGCACAGCGAUUUGGGUGGUUUCUGUAUCAGAAGGCAGGCUUCCUGGAGUUUCAUAUGAUCCCAUUAGAGCUCCGAAUGAUGUGGAUGGGGUGUUUAGUGUGCUCAAUGCCCUUGGGAUCAUUGCUUUUGCCUUCAGAGGUCACAAUCUUAUCCUUGAGAUUCAGGUAAUUGAUCAUUUUCAUCUUAAUUAUUCACUAAAUUUUAAUUGAAUUAUUUUUAUAGAUUAAUUUGAGUUGGUGCUUUCAACUCCCAAUGCUUUGGCCAGUGAGAACCUGCAAAAUUGGUCAAAGCAUAUAUUUUUUAGGGUUUUUGAAGUCAGAGAUUGAUGCCUAACUAAUUAAAUUAUUAAAUGUGCACUACAAGUCUAUGCAUGUUAUUGCUUUUACACAUAGAAAUUGACAGUUUUGACCAACUUGAACAUCUUCAUAUGAAUAAGAAUCCAACUGUCAAUGAAAAAAAAAUUUGAGAGAAUGCUUAGACGCAUGCAGAUGUAGUACAACUGUUCUAACAAUUGGAAUAGUUUUAAUUUUCCCAGUUGAAUAUUUAAUUAAAACCAACCAUGACCAAUCAUGAAUCUUUAUCUUUAUAUAAUUAAAAUUGUGCAAAUUCAUGCUUUAAAUUUUUUUUUUUAAAGGCUUGAUCUUUAAGGAUUCUUUUGCCUUUACAAUAAUAGUUUGUGCAUCAAAUCAAAAAGUAAAAUUUAAAUAAAAGUGUGGGGGUCCUCAACUCUUAACUUAUCAUGAUCAUCCCCAUCACCUAGGUUGAAUAACAUUAAGUUGGAAUUAUUCAAAUCAUAGAAUUAGCUUUCUGAAUUCAAUGUUUUUGUGUUGCAGGCCACCAUGCCUUCCAGUGAGAAACAUCCCUCACAUGUGCCCAUGUGGAGAGGAGUGAAGGUGUCCUAUUCAAUCAUUGCUGCAUGCUUGUUUCCCCUUGCAAUUGGAGGCUACUGGGCUUAUGG
RNAcentral lists this long non-coding RNA (1220 nucleotides) under Malus domestica (apple). Its description in RNAcentral is "long non-coding RNA (MDOM_LNC001506)". The record is from RNAcentral. Lineage: Eukaryota; Viridiplantae; Streptophyta; Magnoliopsida; Rosales; Rosaceae.